Molecule: unclassified non-coding RNA, 1188 nt
Filed under: Penaeus chinensis
Lineage: Eukaryota; Metazoa; Arthropoda; Malacostraca; Decapoda; Penaeidae
Description: arrestin domain-containing protein 17-like, transcript variant X2
Source: RNAcentral
GUUCAACCGAAGACAAAGAAUUUACAUCGGACGAGAAAGAGUUGGUUGUCACAAUGGGUUUUGGUGAUUUUACUGUGGUUAUUGAGCCACACCAACCCGUGUAUUUCAGUGAACAAGUUGUGCAAGGUUAUGUUAAAGUUGUUUUAGAAGAACCAGUUCCUUGUAGAGGUAUUAAAGUGACGUGCAAAGGUGUAGGCAAAGUGUCGUGGUCUGAAAAACGUGGAAAGACAAGAGUAACAUAUUCUGCAUCAGAAGAAUAUUUCCGUGAAACCCUUGACAUUUGGUCUGGUGAUGACACGGAUGAGACGUUCCCUGCUGGCGAACACACAUUCCCCUUCGCCUUCCAGAUCCCUAAGGACAUCCCAUCCUCUUUUGAGUCGGAGAUUGGCAAAGUGAGGUAUCAGGUCAAGGCUGUGGCUGACAGACCGUGGCAGAUUGAUGACUCAUCCAAAGCAGUUUUUUCAGUCAACCACCUCUAUGAUCUGAGUUCUGACAGCAGUGCAUUGUUACCAAUAAACAAUGAACGAGAAAAAUCCAUUCGUUGCUGCUGUGUCAGGUGGGGACCCAUCUCACUGACACUGGGGGUAGAGAGGAGAGGCUACGUUGGAGGGGAGAAUUUGGUUAUCAAUGGGGAGAUUGUGAACAACAGUGGGUCCACCAUCAAGUACACUGAGGCCAAAAUUGUACAGAACAUCAGCUACAUCACCAACUCCAAAAUAAAGACAGUAUGCCACACAGUGCAACGCGUCUACCGCCCACAGAUUCAGAAUGGGGGAACUGAUGAGUGGUCAGGUGUUGCUCUCCCUGUGCCUGCAGUCACAGCCAGCCAUCUCAUGCACUGUAACAUCAUUGAUGUGAAGUAUUUGUUGAUUGCACAAUUGUCGCUUCUGAUACAUCUGUUGAGGCUGGCGGCACAGUCCUAGCUAGCACCAUAAGCGAUGGAAACUCCCCAAGUUUUGUGCAGUCUAGCCAUCCAGGUCAAGGAAGGCAUGGUGAUAAUCCUCCUUCGUACAACAGGAUCGUGAUGCCUGAGGAGUAUGCAAAUAUCCCCCCACCUUCCUAUGAGUCCUGCAUCUUUGGUGGUGGACAGCAGAGUAUGUUUGAUAAUGACAGCGACAAUGAUGAGGGUGGCUUUGCCCCACAUUACAUCACAUACAGAAGAAACUGAACAAAUUUUCACACUAUAGG